GGAGUUAAGACACUUGAACACGCAAUAGACUUGGGCACUUGGGUAUCCAAAAUAUAGAGACCGCUUGAUUUAUGUCCUUUACCUAUAAUCUUCUUCGUCAUAAGAUCCUGAAAAAGACAGUAAUCAGGAAAAAAAUGAGAUAUAGCAGUUCAAGGUCCGAGUUAGUUUGCUCACAAACAUCAAAUUAAAAGAAAAUUGUGGUAAACUUAAGACAGAGGAUAAGGAAAUUAAUAGAGUUGGAUUAAUACUUCCAGAAUCGAGAUCAGAAGUAGAACCAUCAGCUAAAGUAACAUUGGAAGUACGUGUAUGCGACUGAAAGUAGAGAAAAGACUAGGAUUACCUAUCAUAUGAUCUGUGGUGCUAGAAUCAAUGACUCAUUUCGAGGAAGAAAAGAUGAGACAUGUAUUAGGUUUACCUGUUUCAGCAAUGGCAGAGGUAGAGUGAGACGAGUUCUUCAAUGCUUCUUGGUAUUGAGUGAAUUUGGCAAAUUUAUCUACAGAAAUUGUAAUGGUCUGCUCAAAGGAUGAGAUGGGUGUAGCAGAAGUAGCUACAACAUGAGCUGAGUUAGGGAUGGUAAAAAAUCCCGCCCCACCCGAAUGGGGCAAAAAAACUCGCCUCGAACGGGUUGGCGGGGCGAGGAUGCCCCUCACGUGAAGAUAAAAAAAAGAAAAGAAAAGAAUAAACAUAAUUUUAUUUCUAGAUAAUUUACCCGCUAAAGAUCCAUUUUAAAUUUGUAUUUUAUUCUCUAAUUAAUAACAUAACUUGAAAUUUUGAAAAUGUAAAAAAAUAAAAUAAAUAAACUGGGCAAAAAGUUGCCCCGCCCCUGCCCUUAGACCGGGCGGGGGCAGUGGGAUUUUGGCGAGACCCGCCCUGCCCUGAACCCACCCUAUUGCCAUCUCUAAGCUGAGUGAGACUUCAGAGAUUUUUUGUGCAAUUUUCGGCAUGAGUAUUUGGUAUGACCCGGCUCAUGACAAUAUUAGCAGACAACUUCAUUAUGACUUCGAUUGACCGGACUACCUGUACCCCGCCUCUUGUGUUACCUCUACUACUGCGACUGAUAAGAGUACUAGAAGGUUGAACAGAUGAAGCAACAAAAGCACUGGAAUCUGUGCGAAGUACUCUAGUAAAGGUUUCUUGCAAAGAUGGAAUCUCAACACUGGAGAGAACUUGGAAUUUAGCAGUUUCAAACUGAAAAUUAAGGCCUGCUAGAAAACUCAUCACAGCUAUUUGCUCCCGUUGAGCUUGUUGAACUUCUGGACUAAAAGGUAAAAAGACAUUCAAUUCUUCAUAAAUCUUUUUGAAAUUCAUAAAAUAAACUUAAAGAGACUGAUCUUGUUGUUCGGCACGGGAAAAACCCAUACAGACUUCAUAAAUACGUGAUGCGUUCCCUUUUUCAGAGUAUGUAAAUUCUAAAUUUUUCGUUAAUUCCUUAACAUACUUACAGUUAUUAAUCAGGCUGACUAUUUCUGUGUCAAUGGAAUUACAAAAGACAUUUAAUUCUUCAUAAGUCUUUUUGAAAUUCAUAAAAUAAGCUUGAAGAGACUGAUCUUGUUGUUCGGCACGGUAAAAACCCUUACAGACUUUAUAAAUAUGUGGUGCGUUCCCUUUUCCAGAGUAUAUAAAUUCUAAAUAUUCUAUUAAUUUCGUAGCAUACUCACAGUGAUUAAUCAAGGUGACUAUUUCUGUUUCAAUGGAAUUACGAAUUUAUAAGAAUAAUCGGAUAUCAUCUCUUAGCCAUGUCUGGUGAGUAUUAUCCAUUGGUGGAUCUCCAGUAAGGUGAUUGUCCAUAGAAAUACUCCGCAAAUAAACUCGAAUUAUCUUACACCAAUCUAAAUAGUUUGGACCUAUCAACUUAUGCUCCGUGAUUUUGGACAUCAGUCAUAACUAAAUUCUUUUGUUUGUCAACUAUGGAAACAAAUCACGAGGUCCAAGUAACAAAUCAAAGCAGUAGCCCUAACAAGUAACCACCCAAAAUAAUAGGCCCAGCCCACUUCAAAAAGUAAUUGGACAACUUGAUUAACUUGUAGCCCAAUUAAAUUAGUCCAACCACAAUAGCCCAAGCCAAAUGGACCAACAGUAACCAAAUCUGCCUAAUUGAGGGACAAACAAAAACGGCAGCCCAAAUAGAUCUCCAACACGAGAGAUGCAAGAACCACUCACCGGCGAUGGGAAAGAUGAAAAACCAAAUAGCAGGCCUCUAAAAUUAGAUGGAAGACCCAGAAUGAGAACUUGUACGGAAGACCUAGAAGAUCCCGGUGAUGGUAAGAUCCCGAUUUCACCGAGCCGUCACCUGCACGGAAGACCCAAAAGAUCCCGCUUCACUGAAUGAGGGCCUGCACACGGAUGAUGCCGCCAACCGUGAUGAUGUCGUUGGAAAUAUGAAGACUAGACGCUUACGGUGAGCGCACACACGAGUAAGAUAUGUUAUAGCUCCGAUAACAUGUAAUUUGGAGAGAGAGAAAAAUAAUUUGCACAUUCUUUACAUUAAGAGACGGUACAUAUAUAUAUAUACAAUAGGAAUUCUAUAUUAGGAAGGAUCCUAAUUCCCUACUCCUAUAAUUAAGGUAAAAUAUAUUUCAUAAUCAG
Molecule: long non-coding RNA, 2586 nt
Filed under: Olea europaea (common olive)
Lineage: Eukaryota; Viridiplantae; Streptophyta; Magnoliopsida; Lamiales; Oleaceae
Description: long non-coding RNA (OEUR_LNC008896)
Source: RNAcentral